Cyprinus carpio (common carp) is the source of this 354-nucleotide long non-coding RNA. The record is from Ensembl. NCBI's taxonomy places the organism in Eukaryota, Metazoa, Chordata, Actinopteri, Cypriniformes, Cyprinidae.
CCCAGCAGACGUCCUGCCUGUAAGAACUAAACCCUCAAGGGCAGAGAAAGAGAGAGAGUGAGAAGACGAAAACGGCAACACGCUGCACCACCCAGGAGCUGACUAACAGUUUAGGUCAAGGCACCUCUGGGACGGCAACCAAAGACUGGAGAAAACAGGGACAUUAUUCUGCAAAGACACAGGAGCAGGUGAAGGACAUUAAUCCAAACAUUUGAGCUGGAUUAUCUUCAGUGAGGAUUGAGGACGCAUUUAAAACAGCUGCUCUCUGAGAAUGUAACUCCUGCACUUCUACUUUGCGAGACUCCAGCAAGUUUAUCGCACAGCCGAGGAGAUCUGAACUUCCAGAGCAUUCCC